RNAcentral lists this ribosomal RNA (253 nucleotides) under uncultured bacterium. RNAcentral describes it as "partial 16S ribosomal RNA". It matches the Rfam family "Bacterial small subunit ribosomal RNA", at positions 524 to 776 of the family's 1533-position model. The record is from RNAcentral.
UACGUAGGGGGCAAGCGUUGUCCGGAAUCAUUGGGCGUAAAGAGCGUGUAGGCGGCUCGAUAAGUCUGCUGUGAAAGUCCAGGGCUCAACCCUGGAAGGCCGGUGGAAACUGUCGGGCUAGAGUCCGGAAGAGGCGAGUGGAAUUCCCGGUGUAGCGGUGAAAUGCGCAGAUAUCAGGAGGAACACCAAUUGCGAAGGCAGCUCGCUGGGACGUUACUGACGCUGAGACGCGAAAGCGUGGGGAGCAAACAGG